This 639-nucleotide long non-coding RNA is filed under the name Anas platyrhynchos platyrhynchos (common mallard). RNAcentral describes it as "lncRNA (ENSAPLG00000029191.1)". Lineage: Eukaryota; Metazoa; Chordata; Aves; Anseriformes; Anatidae. The record is from RNAcentral.
UGCUGGUUCUGGCCCCACCUACACCUUCCUUUUCACUACACUGAACCGAUAAUGCAGGACCAGCUGCAGCAGAGAAUUACAUCUUGCUACCUGCCCCAGUCAGCUCCAGCCCCUGUAGCAGGUGAAGCAGCUCCUUUGCAACACAUACGGAAUCUCCAUCAGGUGGGACAAAUUCCAAGGUCACCUUCAAUGCCAAGAUAGGUGAUAAGAGGACUUAGAGCUAGUAGGCACUUGUUGUGACUUGCAGAGUCCCAGUAGGAUCAGCUUGAUUGUAAUAUGGCUCCAGAAGGUCACACCCCCAACCUCUUUGUCUCUUCUGCAGGGCUCAGCUUGACUCGUCCUGCUGUGAGCACUUCAGCCCAGAGAUGCCCAAACAGCUUGCACUACUGCUUCCUUGCCACAUCUGAGCCCAGGAGACAGGGAACAAAGGAUAAGGAGGAGAGCAGUCCAGAUUCAGGAUUCCCUUCACCCACUAGUCCUCGUAUUGAACACUAGGUUUUCUCUCCAGAACUGCAGACAAGGACAUAUCCCACAAAAUACAGAAACAGACAAAAGAACUGACAGAUUUAGAGACUGACAUUCCAUCAAGGCAUUCUGGUGACAAACGAAGAAUGAAAUGCAUAUUUUCUGAGUAGUUGC